CUACGGAGGGUGCAAGCGUUAUUCGGAAUUACUGGGCGUAAAGCGCGCGUAGGCGGUUUGCUCAGUCGGAUGUGAAAGCCCAGGGCUCAACCUUGGAACUGCAUACGAUACUGGCAAACUAGAGUGUGAGAGAGGAUAGUGGAAUUUCCGGUGUAGCGGUGAAAUGCGUAGAUAUCGGAAGGAACAUCAGUGGCGAAGGCGACUGUCUGGCUCAACACUGACGCUGAGGUGCGAAAGCGUGGGUAGCAAACAGGAUUAGAAACCCUAGUAGUCC
This 274-nucleotide ribosomal RNA is filed under the name uncultured bacterium. RNAcentral describes it as "partial 16S ribosomal RNA". It matches the Rfam family "Bacterial small subunit ribosomal RNA", at positions 523 to 796 of the family's 1533-position model. The record is from RNAcentral.